GGCCAUAUGGUGUAGUGGUUUAUCACCUCCAAAUAUAUGUUGGAUGGACCCGGGUUCGAAUCCUGGUGUGGCCA
Non-coding RNA from Cantharellus anzutake, 74 nucleotides. NCBI's taxonomy places the organism in Eukaryota, Fungi, Basidiomycota, Agaricomycetes, Cantharellales, Hydnaceae. The record is from the annotation of a RefSeq genome assembly.